This 440-nucleotide ribosomal RNA is filed under the name uncultured bacterium. RNAcentral's name for it is "bacterial SSU rRNA". It matches the Rfam family "Bacterial small subunit ribosomal RNA", at positions 28 to 507 of the family's 1533-position model. The record is from RNAcentral.
GAUGAACGCUGGCGGUAUGCCUAACACAUGCAAGUCGUACGAGAGUUUUUAACUCUAGUGGCGGACGGGUGAGUAACACGUGAGAAUUUGCCUUUAGGAGGGGGAUAACAAUUGGAAACGAAUGCUAAUACCCCAUAUGCUUUUGAGUGAAAUGGAUUUUAUCCGCCUAGAGAGAAGCUCGCGGCUGAUUAGCUUGUUGGUAAGGUAAGAGCUUACCAAGGCGACGAUCAGUAUCUGGUUUGAGAGGACGAUCAGACACACUGGAACUGAGACACGGUCCAGACUCCUACGGGAGGCAGCAGUGGGGAAUUUUCCGCAAUGGGCGAAAGCCUGACGGAGCAAUACCGCGUGAGGGAAGAAUGCCUAUGGGUUGUAAACCUCUUUUUCAGGGAGGAAUAAAAUGACGUGUACCUGAAGAAUAAGCAUCGGCUAACUCCGUG